AAAUUGUAAUUAAUAAAUUAAUUUUAUUCUGUCCAACUCAGCGCUUCGUGAGAUAAGAAUUUAGAAAGCGAUAAAUUAUUUAUAGUUUUGACAUCAUUAUUAUUAUUAUUAUUUAUAGGUUUUUUUAGAAUUUUUUGUUUGACAGCUGCCGAGUAACGCGCUACUGAUUUGUUAAAUUUUUUUUGUUGUUAUGAUUAUAUAUAGAAAAUAGAAAGAAACAGUGAAAUGUUUACCAUUUUUUAAGUUUUAUUGAAGACAGUAAACGAUUCAUGGCACUGAGUGUCACGCCCCGGAUUACUCGUUUUUCCGGGCUCGCUAACAGACCCUCCGUAUAUAUAGGUAGUAUAGAGCAGCUAGAAAAAUAAACCAUAAUUGUAAACUGCGGUUCAAUGCAUACAUGUCAUCAGGGUAUACAAAUACUCGCGCUGGCGAGAUAACAACAACUGUAUGUAAAGACCCAAAAACUACAACUACCUAUAGCUGGUGCUCCUCUAGCUCUGCGACUCGACUGGAAGGGCUCUAACUUGCGACGCCCUUGCCACGAUCAAGAUCAGCAACAGCAGCAGCCGAAGACGACGCCUCUGCAAAAACGGUGAUAACAACUGGGCGUGAGAACUACUGCAAAAAUAAGUAGUCCUCAGUGGGUACCGCCCUGAAACUCAUCGGUCCACCCACUAAGUCUACAAGGAUAAGCAGGAAUAGUAAAAAAAGCUGGAAUAAAUCUACAGCUAUAUGCCACUAUACUAUCAUGCUUUAAAUCUAACCAUCUGUAGAACAGUGCCAACUCAGACCCAAUUUCAAGUAAGGACUGUAAUCAUACCCGUUCCUGGGACUGUGAACACACCCGUCCUGCCGGUCACGACUAUACAGCUAUCUCCACACUAACCAGUCCAUGGAGAGCAAGUCCAACCUGUACGAACGACACCAAUGCAAAAGCACUAAGCCCGACUCCGUAGUGGCACUCGUGGGCGCUACCCAAUCGAACAUGCAGCGUAUCUCUGUCGAGCACAAUCAGACUCUAACAAGCCAAAGAUAAGUAGCUAGGGUCAAAACAGAUCUAGAAACUGAACCCACGUGCCCUCGGCACAAUCUGAUACCAAAAACAGGAAUCUGGGUCCACCGUCCACCCCGACGGUACCCGACAAUCCGAAACAGCAUAAAUUCUGCUGUAAAAGUAAGCUCGGCGUCCCAGCACGAGCGUAAAUGCAUUCUAAACUACCCCGGGUAUCCACCACGCUGAAACAGCGGUGACACGAUCAAAUCACGGUUCCUAG
RNAcentral lists this long non-coding RNA (1274 nucleotides) under Ananas comosus (pineapple). RNAcentral describes it as "long non-coding RNA (ACOM_LNC031201)". Lineage: Eukaryota; Viridiplantae; Streptophyta; Magnoliopsida; Poales; Bromeliaceae. The record is from RNAcentral.